RNAcentral lists this unclassified non-coding RNA (208 nucleotides) under Hevea brasiliensis (rubber tree). Lineage: Eukaryota; Viridiplantae; Streptophyta; Magnoliopsida; Malpighiales; Euphorbiaceae. The record is from RNAcentral.
AACAAAAAUAAAUAUCUAAAUUAUAAAAAUUUAUUUAUAAUUUAGACUUUAAUUAGUUCAAGUUAUUCUAGUUAACUGUUCUUUACAAAUUGACGACUACAUGGUGUUCAUUCAGUUGGUAAAUUUUUUCGAAGUUUGCUUCAUGGCAUGCAAUAAAAUGAAAUUAAUUUAUUAAACUAAUAGUAAAUUAAUUAUUAUUUAAAUUAGU